This 868-nucleotide ribosomal RNA is filed under the name uncultured bacterium. RNAcentral describes it as "bacterial SSU rRNA". It matches the Rfam family "Bacterial small subunit ribosomal RNA", at positions 524 to 1380 of the family's 1533-position model. The record is from RNAcentral.
UUCGGGAUGUGCAAGCGUUGUUCGGAAUCACUGGGCAUAAAGGGUGCGUAGGCGGUUCGGUAAGUCAUGCGUGAAAGCCCCCGGCCCAACCGGGGAACUGCGCCUGAUACUGUCGGACUUGAGGCCGAAAGAGGCAAGCAGAAUUACAGGUGUAGCGGUGGAAUGCGUAGAUAUCUGUGAGAAUGCCAAAGGCGAAGGCAGCUUGCUGGGUCGGUUCUGACGCUGAGGUACGAAAGCUAGGGGAGCGAACAGGAUUAGAUACCCUGGUAGUCCUAGCUGUAAACGAUGGGCACUUUGUUUCGGGGGACCUGAUUCCCUCGGAGCCGGAGCUAAUGCGUUAAGUGCCCCGCCUGGGGAGUAUGGUCGCAAGGCUAAAACUCAAAGGAAUUGACGGGGGCUCACACAAGCGGUGGAGCAUGUUGUUCAAUUCGAAGCAACGCGAAGAACCUUACCUGGGCUUGACAUGCUAGUGGUACGGACCCGAAAGGGCGAGGACUCCUUAACCGGAGAGCUAGCACAGGUGCUGCAUGGCUGUCGUCAGCUCGUGUCGUGAGACGUUGGGUUAAGUCCCGUAACGAGCGAAACCCUUGUCGCAUGUUGCUAGCCGGGUAAUGCCGGGCACUCUUGCGAGACUGCCGGUGCCAAACCGGAGGAAGGUGGGGACGACGUCAAGUCAUCAUGGUCCUUACGUCCAGGGCUACAAACGUGCUACAAUGGCGGGUACAGAGAGAAGCAAUACCGCUGAGGUGGAGCAAAUNUUCAAAACCCGCCCCAGUUCGGAUUGGAGGUCUGCAAUUCGCCUCCAUGAAGUCGGAAUCGCAUAGUAAUCGCGGAUCAGCAAUGCCGCGGUGAAUACGUUCACNGAGCC